Molecule: transfer RNA, 73 nt
Filed under: Bos taurus (domestic cattle)
Lineage: Eukaryota; Metazoa; Chordata; Mammalia; Artiodactyla; Bovidae
Also listed under: 5 other names
Rfam family: tRNA
About the family: Transfer RNA (tRNA) molecules are approximately 80 nucleotides in length. Their secondary structure includes four short double-helical elements and three loops (D, anti-codon, and T loops). Further hydrogen bonds mediate the characteristic L-shaped molecular structure. tRNAs have two regions of fundamental functional importance: the anti-codon, which is responsible for specific mRNA codon recognition, and the 3' end, to which the tRNAs corresponding amino acid is attached (by aminoacyl-tRNA synthetases). tRNAs cope with the degeneracy of the genetic code in two manners: having more than one tRNA (with a specific anti-codon) for a particular amino acid; and 'wobble' base-pairing, i.e. permitting non-standard base-pairing at the 3rd anti-codon position.
Source: Rfam by way of RNAcentral
UCCCUAGUAGCUCAACUGAUAAAGAAUCUGCCUGCAAUGCAGGAGGACCCUGGUUUGAUUCCUGGGUUGGGAA